This 497-nucleotide ribosomal RNA is filed under the name uncultured bacterium. Its description in RNAcentral is "partial 16S ribosomal RNA". It matches the Rfam family "Bacterial small subunit ribosomal RNA", at positions 28 to 507 of the family's 1533-position model. The record is from RNAcentral.
GAUGAACGCUGGCGGCGUGCCUAAUACAUGCAAGUCGAGCGAACGGACGAGAAGCUUGCUUCUCUGAUGUUAGCGGCGGACGGGUGAGUAACACGUGGAUAACCUACCUAUAAGACUGGGAUAACUUCGGGAGACCGGAGCUAAUACCGGAUAAUAUUUUGAACCGCAUGGUUCAACAGUGAAAGACGGUCUUGCUGUCACUUAUAGAUGGAUCCGCGCUGCAUUAGCUAGUUGGUAAGGUAACGGCUUACCAAGGCAACGAUGCAUAGCCGACCUGAGAGGGUGAUCGGCCACACUGGAACUGAGACACGGUCCAGACUCCUACGGGAGGCAGCAGUAGGGAAUCUUCCGCAAUGGGCGAAAGCCUGACGGAGCAACGCCGCGUGAGUGAUGAAGGUCUUCGGAUCGUAAAACUCUGUUAUUAGGGAAGAACAUAUGUGUAAGUAACUGUGCACAUCUUGACGGUACCUAAUCAGAAAGCCACGGCUAACUACGUG